Molecule: Y RNA, 95 nt
Filed under: Ictidomys tridecemlineatus (thirteen-lined ground squirrel)
Lineage: Eukaryota; Metazoa; Chordata; Mammalia; Rodentia; Sciuridae
Description: Spermophilus tridecemlineatus (thirteen-lined ground squirrel) Y RNA
Rfam family: Y RNA
About the family: Y RNAs are components of the Ro ribonucleoprotein particle (Ro RNP), in association with Ro60 and La proteins. The Y RNAs and Ro60 and La proteins are well conserved, but the function of the Ro RNP is not known. In humans the RNA component can be one of four small RNAs -- hY1, hY3, hY4 and hY5.
Source: Rfam by way of RNAcentral
GGCUGGUCCGAUGGUAGUGGGUUAUCAGAACUUAUUAACAUUAGUGUCACUAAAGUUGAUAUACAACCCCCCACUGCUAAAUUUGACUGGCUUUU